CACAUCGGACAUUGUGGGCAACCCUGAUCAAGCCCUGCCGCGUGUGUGUAGAACGUCAUCGGAGUGUUAAGUACUUUAUGUUGGGAGGACGGGCUUUACGUAAUUACCCUGCAGUUUUGACGUUAUGAACCGAAUAAGUACCGGCCAGCUCUGUCUCAGCGGCCGCGGUAUUCCCGAGGGUGCAAGCGUUAAGCGGAAUUACUGGGGGUAAAGCGCGCGUGGGUAGUUCAGUACGAUGGGUGUGAAAUCCCCGGGCUUAACCUGGGAACUGCUUUCAUAACUGCUGGGCUAGAGUACGGUAGAGGGUAGUGGAAUUUCCUGUGUAGCGGUGAAAUGCGUAGAUAUAGGAAGGAACACCAGUGGCGAAGGCAACCACCUGGGCUAAUACUGACACUGAGGUGCGAAAGCGUGGGGAGCAAAC
This 421-nucleotide ribosomal RNA is filed under the name uncultured bacterium. RNAcentral's name for it is "partial 16S ribosomal RNA". It matches the Rfam family "Bacterial small subunit ribosomal RNA", at positions 359 to 773 of the family's 1533-position model. The record is from RNAcentral.